This 75-nucleotide transfer RNA is filed under the name Candidatus Pacearchaeota archaeon. RNAcentral describes it as "tRNA-Met". It matches the Rfam family "tRNA". From Rfam's summary of the family: Transfer RNA (tRNA) molecules are approximately 80 nucleotides in length. Their secondary structure includes four short double-helical elements and three loops (D, anti-codon, and T loops). Further hydrogen bonds mediate the characteristic L-shaped molecular structure. tRNAs have two regions of fundamental functional importance: the anti-codon, which is responsible for specific mRNA codon recognition, and the 3' end, to which the tRNAs corresponding amino acid is attached (by aminoacyl-tRNA synthetases). tRNAs cope with the degeneracy of the genetic code in two manners: having more than one tRNA (with a specific anti-codon) for a particular amino acid; and 'wobble' base-pairing, i.e. permitting non-standard base-pairing at the 3rd anti-codon position. Lineage: Archaea; Nanobdellati. The record is from RNAcentral.
AGCGGGAUGGAGAAGUCUGGAGUUCUCGUCGGGCCCAUAACCCGAAGGUCGGUGGUUCAAAUCCACCUCCCGCUA